AAUAGAUACCCCCGGUAGUCCACGCCGUAAACGAUGAGUGCUAAGUGUUGGAGGGUUUCCGCCUUUCAGUGCUGCAGCUAACGCAUUAAGCACUCCGCCUGGGGAGUACGGUCGCAAGACUGAAACUCAAAGGAAUUGACGGGGGCCCGCACAAGCGGUGGAGCAUGUGGUUUAAUUCGAAGCAACGCGAAGAACCUUACCAGGUCUUGACAUCUCCUGACCGCCCUGGAGACAGGGUCUUCCCUUCGGGGACAGGAUGACAGGUGGUGCAUGGUUGUCGUCAGCUCGUGUCGUGAGAUGUUGGGUUAAGUCCCGCAACGAGCGCAACCCUUGGUUCUAGUUGCCAGCAUUCAGUUGGGCACUCUAGAGCGACUGCCGGCGACAAGUCGGAGGAAGGUGGGGAUGACGUCAAAUCAUCAUGCCCCUUAUGACCUGGGCUACACACGUGCUACAAUGGAUGGUACAAAGGGCAGCGAAGCGGCGACGCAUAAGCGAAUCCCAGAAAACCCAUUCUCAGUUCGGAUUGCG
This 528-nucleotide ribosomal RNA is filed under the name uncultured bacterium. RNAcentral's name for it is "bacterial SSU rRNA". It matches the Rfam family "Bacterial small subunit ribosomal RNA", at positions 777 to 1302 of the family's 1533-position model. The record is from RNAcentral.